UUAAGUUCAGCGGGUAUCCCUACCUGAUUCGAGGAGUUCCAAUGUCUUUUUGCUCGCCACCCCCGGCAGCCUCGCCGCGCGGGAGCGCCAGCGCGUCGUAUCACGCUCGGCCACGCGGCGGGCGUCCGCCAUUGGAUUCCAGCGCGGUGGCCGCCGCCUCGGGCACGCCACCGCCGCCAUGACCACGCGUUCGCUCGCGC
Molecule: unclassified non-coding RNA, 200 nt
Filed under: Helvella sp.
Lineage: Eukaryota; Fungi; Ascomycota; Pezizomycetes; Pezizales; Helvellaceae
Description: partial internal transcribed spacer 2
Source: RNAcentral